CGGGCUGUAGCGCAGCCUGGUUAGCGCACAUGUCUGGGGGGCAUGGUGUCGGCCGUUCAAAUCGGCUCAGCCCGA
RNAcentral lists this transfer RNA (75 nucleotides) under Spirochaetales bacterium. RNAcentral's name for it is "tRNA-Pro". Lineage: Bacteria; Pseudomonadati; Spirochaetota; Spirochaetia; Spirochaetales. The record is from RNAcentral.